This 434-nucleotide ribosomal RNA is filed under the name Eremothecium gossypii. RNAcentral's name for it is "partial small subunit ribosomal RNA". It matches the Rfam family "Bacterial small subunit ribosomal RNA", at positions 376 to 940 of the family's 1533-position model. The record is from RNAcentral. Lineage: Eukaryota; Fungi; Ascomycota; Saccharomycetes; Saccharomycetales; Saccharomycetaceae.
CGAAAGAUUGAUCCAGUUACUUAGUAGAAUGAUUGGUUAACAAUAAAAUUCAAUAAUUUAUUUAAAUAAUGAUUAAAUAAUCUAAUCCCAACCAAAAUUUGUGCCAGCAGCUGCGGUAAGACAAAGGGGGUUAGCGUUAAUCGUAAUGGCUUAAAGGGUUCGUAGAAUUAGAAUUAAUAAAAAUAAUUUAAGAAUUAUUCAAGUAAAGAUGAAAUAAUAAUUAUAUGAAUAAGACUUAUAAAGUGAAAAUUUAAAUUAUAUAUUAAUUGACAUUGAGGAACGAAGGCUAAAGUAGCAAAUCGGAUUCGAUACCCGAGUAGUUUUAGCAGUAAACAAUGAAUACAAAUGAAAAUUAAAGUAUUCCGCCUGAUGACUACGUUAGCAAUAAUAAAAAUCAAAACAAUAGACGGUUACAGACUUAAGCAGUGGAACAU